CAUAAUAUUACAUUACAUGUCAUAAAGUUUGGAUAUUAUUAAAUGUCCUACAACUUAUAACUGGUCCCAUUCACCAAUAGCAACUGCUUCAUCACACUUAGCUUAAUCUCACUUUCCUCCGCUGCGAUGCGGCUCUGCCAUAGUUCUGGACGAAGAAGGUUUCGACUUCGAGGCUGAGGAUACAGAUUGAUUAACUACACUCUGUGAAGGUGAUCGUGGUUGCACAGUAGACGUUUCCGUCGCUGGAGGAACAUUUCUUCUCCAUCCUAUGCUGAAGUAGCCGACGAUAUUCCCCAUAACUGACUAACUGAGUGAUGUAAUUAAGACUCAAUAAGUGGUGUGUCUUUCUGUGAUGAAAGCCAAGUUCGCCUUUUAUAUUAAUUGUGUUGGGUGGUUGGUGGAAAACAUUUGUGUAAAGUUUGACUUUGGCAGGACUACAUAUCAGUCAUAGUCAAAGUCUGUUUUUUCUUUGAUAUUCUAAAUUGACUUAUUUUUGGGUUCAUCCCCUAAGGUUUACCAACAAAUAGGAUUGUGUUAUUUUAUAUUUGAUAUCUUUUUAAAAAGAAAACAAAAUAUUGUCAAGUUAUAUUAUGUUUUUAAAAGAAAAAAAGUAAGGGUAACCUGGUAAUUUAUUAUCACUAAAUGAAACAUUUUUGUCAAAUUGGACCUUGGGGUCCAUAUUUGGAAAAAAAAACUUGGUUUAGGACUAUCUAGGGUCAUUUAACAUAACCUAUAGGUUGAUGUAUCAUAUAAUCAAAUAAUAGUAAUAUCAACUAAAUUUAGUAUUUAUAUUUAUAAAUGAAAAUAUAUUAAAUUAUAUUUUAACAUUCUAAUUUAAAUAUAAAUAUUAAAAUAUAUAUUAUUUGUUACUUUAAAUAUAUUACUUUAAUAUUUUAUUUUAAUAAGUUGAAGUAUUUUGUAAAAUUCAUAAAUAUAUGUUAAUAUGUAUAUGUAAAUAUUUAAUAAUUGGAUUAAGUUAUUUUAUAUUUAUUAAUUGGUGUAAUAUUUAAUUAUGAAUAUGAAUUAUGCAUAUAUAAAUAUUAUAAAAUGUUAUUUAUUAUUCUAUCAAAUAAAAAAUGAAUUAAUAUUCAUUUAUAAUAGUGCUUAAUACUAAUUAAGUAUUUUAUUUUUUGAAAAAUAUCAAAAUACAAUCCUAAAAAAGAUUCUUACGGAUAUCAGAAUAUCUUUUAUGAUAAUUUAUUUUAAAAUAAAUUAAAUAAUAUGUUAAGUUUGAGUGUAAAUGUAAUAAUAGUUAAGUUUUUUAUAUGCAAAAUAAUAGGAAGUUAAAUAAAUGUAGUAGUUCAACUAUGAUUUUCUGUAAGCAGAUUUUUUAGUGAUUCUGUUCUAAUAGUAUUGAUUCUUAAUAUUUUUUGUCAGUGUGUCGUACGUAGUGUAUAUAUCUUUAUUUACAGCCAUGUAUUUUAUCAUUUUUGCUAGUAAAUAGGUGGUCGUAACUCGUAACAUGUCAAAGUUAGUUUUCGAUAUUGGUGUUUAAGCGGCCUAAGAUGAUGAAUGUAACCUUUGCCUUUGUCUUACCUUCUUCGCUGUUAUAUGUCUACUAAAAAUAAGAAGCAAUGCACAAGAGAGGACACAUAUAUAUUGAAGAAGGAUUGUAUAAAAUAAAAGUACGAGUAUGAUCACAAAGUUGCAUAAUAUUACAUUACAUGUCAUAAAGUUUGGAUAUUAUUAAAUGUCCUACAACUUAUAACUGGUCCCAUUCACCAAUAGCAACUGCUUCAUCACACUUAGCUUAAUCUCACUUUCCUCCGCUGCGAUGCGGCUCUGCCAUAGUUCUGGACGAAGAAGGUUUCGACUUCGAGGCUGAGGAUACAGAUUGAUUAACUACACUCUGUGAAGGUGAUCGUGGUUGCACAGUAGACGUUUCCGUCGCUGGAGGAACAUUUCUUCUCCAUCCUAUGCUGAAGUAGCCGACGAUAUUCCCCAUAACUGACUAACUGAGUGAUGUAAUUAAGACUCAAUAAGUG
Molecule: long non-coding RNA, 1985 nt
Filed under: Brassica napus (rape)
Lineage: Eukaryota; Viridiplantae; Streptophyta; Magnoliopsida; Brassicales; Brassicaceae
Description: long non-coding RNA (BNAP_LNC026127)
Source: RNAcentral